RNAcentral lists this ribosomal RNA (492 nucleotides) under uncultured bacterium. Its description in RNAcentral is "partial 16S ribosomal RNA". It matches the Rfam family "Bacterial small subunit ribosomal RNA", at positions 29 to 507 of the family's 1533-position model. The record is from RNAcentral.
AAUGAACGCUGGCGGUAGGCCUAACACAUGCAAGUCGAGCGGCCGCACAGUGAGCGCUUGCUCUUACGGGUGGCGAGUGGCGGACGGGUGAGGAAUACAUCGGAAUCUACUUUUUCGUGGGGGAUAACGUAGGGAAACUUACGCUAAUACCGCAUACGACCUACGGGUGAAAGCAGGGGAUCUUCGGGCCUUGCGCGAUUGAAUGAGCCGAGGUCGGAUUAGCUAGUUGGCGGGGUAAAGGCCCACCAAGGCGACGAUCCGUAGCGGGUCUGAGAGGAUGAUCAGCCACACUGGAACUGAGACACGGUCCAGACUCCUACGGGAGGCAGCAGUGGGGAAUAUUGGACAAUGGGCGAAAGCCUGAUCCAGCCAUACCGCGUGGGUGAAGAAGGCCUUCGGGUUGUAAAGCCCUUUUGUUGGGAAAGAAAAGAAGCAGGUUAAUACCCCGCUGUUCUGACGGUACCCAAAGAAUAAGCACCGGCUAACUUCGUG